Molecule: ribosomal RNA, 329 nt
Filed under: uncultured bacterium
Lineage: Bacteria
Description: bacterial SSU rRNA
Rfam family: Bacterial small subunit ribosomal RNA
Source: RNAcentral
UUUGAUAAGGCAUCUUAUUAAUAUUAAGCUUCGGCACUUGAUGAUGGGUGUGCGGCUGAUUAGAUAGUUGGCGGGGUAACGGCCCACCAAGUCUACGAUCAGUAGCUGAUGGUGAGAGCAUGAUCAGCCACACGGGCACUGAGACACGGGCCCGACUCCUACGGGAGGCAGCAGUAAGGAAUAUUGGAUAAUGGACGAAAGUCUGAUCCAGCCAUGCCGCGUGAAGGAUUAAGGUCCUCUGGAUUGUAAACUUCUUUUAUAUGGGACGAAAAAAGGGCAUUCUUGUUCACUUGACGGUACCAUAUGAAUAAGCACCGGCUAACUCCGUG